AAUAACGGUGGGCUGGAUGAGGCUGACUUCGGUCAGGCCGUUUCCGUACGGGCGGUUGUCCUAACCUUGUUCAGUUCACCACCCAU
This 86-nucleotide non-coding RNA is filed under the name Vibrio aerogenes. Lineage: Bacteria; Pseudomonadati; Pseudomonadota; Gammaproteobacteria; Vibrionales; Vibrionaceae. The record is from RNAcentral. RNAcentral also lists the same sequence under 1 other name.